This 253-nucleotide ribosomal RNA is filed under the name uncultured bacterium. Its description in RNAcentral is "partial 16S ribosomal RNA". It matches the Rfam family "Bacterial small subunit ribosomal RNA", at positions 524 to 776 of the family's 1533-position model. The record is from RNAcentral.
UACGUAGGGCGCAAGCGUUGUCCGGAAUUAUUGGGCGUAAAGAGCUUGUAGGCGGCUUGUCGCGUCUGCUGUGAAAACCCGGGGCUUAACCCCGGGCUUGCAGUGGGUACGGGCAGGCUAGAGUGUGGUAGGGGAGACUGGAAUUCCUGGUGUAGCGGUGGAAUGCGCAGAUAUCAGGAGGAACACCGAUGGCGAAGGCAGGUCUCUGGGCCAUUACUGACGCUGAGAAGCGAAAGCGUGGGGAGCGAACAGG